GUACACUCCUACGGGAGGCAGCAGUGGGGAAUAUUGCACAAUGGGCGCAAGCCUGAUGCAGCCAUGCCGCGUGUAUGAAGAAGGCCUUCGGGUUGUAAAGUACUUUCAGCGGGGAGGAAGGCGAUAAGGUUAAUAACCUUGUUGAUUGACGUUACCCGCAGAAGAAGCACCGGCUAACUCCGUGCCAGCAGCCGCGGUAAUACGAAGGGUGCAAGCGUUAAUCGGAAUUACUGGGCGUAAAGCGCACGCAGGCGGUCUGUCAAGUCGGAUGUGAAAUCCCCGGGCUCAACCUGGGAACUGCAUUCGAAACUGGCAGGCUAGAGUCUUGUAGAGGGGGGUAGAAUUCCAGGUGUAGCGGUGAAAUGCGUAGAGAUCUGGAGGAAUACCGGUGGCGAAGGCGGCCCCCUGGACAAAGACUGACGCUCAGGUGCGAAAGCGUGGGGAGCAAACAGGAUUAGAAACCCCUGUAGUCCCAUGAU
This 479-nucleotide ribosomal RNA is filed under the name uncultured organism. RNAcentral describes it as "partial 16S ribosomal RNA". It matches the Rfam family "Bacterial small subunit ribosomal RNA", at positions 331 to 801 of the family's 1533-position model. The record is from RNAcentral.